This 495-nucleotide ribosomal RNA is filed under the name uncultured bacterium. Its description in RNAcentral is "bacterial SSU rRNA". It matches the Rfam family "Bacterial small subunit ribosomal RNA", at positions 29 to 534 of the family's 1533-position model. The record is from RNAcentral.
AGUGAACGCUGGCGGCGUGCUUAACACAUGCAAGUCGAACGAGAACGGAUUAUAGCUUGCUAUAAUUGUCAGCUAAGCGGCGCACGGGUGAGUAAUGUAUAGGUAAUAUGCCUCUUACUAAGGGAUAACAAAUGGAAACGUUUGCUAAUACCUUAUACUCCUUAUUAACAGAAGUUAAUAAGGGAAAGAUUUAUCGGCAAAGGAUCGGCCCGCGUUGGAUUAGGUAGUUGGUGGGGUAAUGGCCUACCAAGCCGACGAUCCAUAGCUGGUUUGAGAGGAUGAUCAGCCACACUGGGACUGAGACACGGCCCAGACUCCUACGGGAGGCAGCAGUGGGGAAUAUUGGACAAUGGGGGAAACCCGUGAUCCAGCGACGUCGCGUGGGUGAUGAAGGUCUUCGGAUUGUAAAGCCCUUUUGUAGGGGAAGAUAAUGACGGUACCCUACGAAUAAGCUCCGGCUAACUUCGUGCCAGCAGCCGGGUAAUGUCUAGCAUG